Molecule: unclassified non-coding RNA, 353 nt
Filed under: soil metagenome
Description: partial contains 5.8S ribosomal RNA, internal transcribed spacer 2, and large subunit ribosomal RNA
Rfam family: 5.8S ribosomal RNA (bases 1-120)
Source: RNAcentral
GAUGAAGAACGCAGCGAAAUGCGAUAAGUAAUGUGAAUUGCAGAAUUCAGUGAAUCAUCGAAUCUUUGAACGCACAUUGCGCCCGCCAGUAUUCUGGCGGGCAUGCCUGUUCGAGCGUCAUUACGACCCUCAGGCCCCCGGGCCUGGCGUUGGGGAUCGGCGGAAGCCCCCUGCGGGCACAACGCCGUCCCCCAAAUACAGUGGCGGUCCCGCCGCAGCUUCCAUUGCGUAGUAGCUAACACCUCGCAACUGGAGAGCGGCGCGGCCACGCCGUAAAACACCCAACUUCUGAAUGUUGACCUCGAAUCAGGUAGGAAUACCCGCUGAACUUAAGCAUAUCAAUAAGCGGAGGA